AACCCCAACGAAGCUCGGAAGCUGCAAAUCAUCCAGACCAGCUUGAAACUAUUGCCAUAUAGCUCUUACCAAGCUCCUUUCGCGCGGCCCACAAGGGAGAAUUCGGCUUCAGUUCGUUUCCGAUCUUCAUCUCGAAGUUGGCCCGCAGUAUGCAGCAUUCAACAUCAUACCGCAUGCCACUCACCUAAUUUUAGCUGGCGACAUCGGCCGUCUUGCGGGUUAUGAUGGUUUUCGCGGUUUUUUACAGUCCCAGUGCGAAAAGUUUGCAGCAGUGUACCUUGUUCUUGGGAACCAUGAGUUCUUUGGAGUCUCACGCCAAGAAGGCCUGGGUCUGGCGGCAAAGCUCCAGGAAGAGCCAGGACUGAAAGAGAGGUUGAUUAUCAUGAACACUCAGCAUUGAUAUGCUUUGCUGCUCCCUCAUCAUCAAUAUCCACUCACUUGUGCUUGAAGCUUUCAGAAGUGGUGAUAUGAACUUUCAGCUUCAUAUCAUCUUUCACUGCAACUUAUGAGAUGCAGAGCAUAUCACUCUUCAAUAUCAAUGUACAAUUCCAUCAUUUCUUGAAAGCAGAAAUACAGUGUAAAUCAUCAUAAUGAUACUGAAGUUCUCAAAUUGAGAUGAAAAGCAGAUCACAGUCAUAAAUGAAGCUGCAGUUUUGUAAUAGGCGCAACGGAGAUAUCUAUAUUAGGAAAUAGCUAUGUGGCAAUAGAAGAACAC
RNAcentral lists this small RNA (715 nucleotides) under Histoplasma ohiense. RNAcentral's name for it is "hypothetical lncRNA". The record is from RNAcentral. Lineage: Eukaryota; Fungi; Ascomycota; Eurotiomycetes; Onygenales; Ajellomycetaceae.